GUGAGGAAUAUUGGUCAAUGGGCGAGAGCCUGAACCAGCCAAGUCGCGUGAAGGAUGAAGGUUUUAUGAAUUGUAAACUUCUUUUGCAGGGGAAUAAAGUACGGUACGUGUACCGUUUUGUAUGUACUCUGCGAAUAAGGAUCGGCUAACUCCGUGCCAGCAGCCGCGGUAAUACGGAGGGUCCGAGCGUUAUCCGGAUUUAUUGGGUUUAAAGGGUGCGCAGGCGGGUUGAUAAGUCAGCGGUGAAAGUUUGCAGCUUAACUGUAAAAUUGCCGUUGAAACUGUCGAUCUUGAGUGCAAAUGAGGUAAGCGGAAUGUGUUGUGUAGCGGUGAAAUGCUUAGAUAUAACACAGAACACCGAUUGCGAAGGCAGCUUACUGGGAUGCAACUGACGCUCAUGCACGAAAGCGUGGGGAUCAAACAGGAUUAGAUACCCUGGUAGUCC
Molecule: ribosomal RNA, 445 nt
Filed under: uncultured bacterium
Lineage: Bacteria
Description: partial 16S ribosomal RNA
Rfam family: Bacterial small subunit ribosomal RNA
Source: RNAcentral